GACGGACGCUGGCGGCGUGCCUAAUACAUGCAAGUAGAACGCUGAAGGAGGAGCUUGCUUCUCUGGAUGAGUUGCGAACGGGUGAGUAACGCGUAGGUAACCUGCCUGGUAGCGGGGGAUAACUAUUGGAAACGAUAGCUAAUACCGCAUAAUAGCAGUUAUUGCAUGAUAACUGUUUGAAAGGUGCAAUUGCACCACUACCAGAUGGACCUGCGUUGUAUUAGCUAGUUGGUGGGGUAACGGCUCACCAAGGCGACGAUACAUAGCCGACCUGAGAGGGUGAUCGGCCACACUGGGACUGAGACACGGCCCAGACUCCUACGGGAGGCAGCAGUAGGGAAUCUUCGGCAAUGGACGGAAGUCUGACCGAGCAACGCCGCGUGAGUGAAGAAGGUUUUCGGAUCGUAAAGCUCUGUUGUAAGAGAAGAACGAGUGUGAGAGUGGAAAGUUCACACUGUGACGGUAUCUUACCAGAAAGGGACGGCUAACUACGUG
This 495-nucleotide ribosomal RNA is filed under the name uncultured bacterium. Its description in RNAcentral is "partial 16S ribosomal RNA". It matches the Rfam family "Bacterial small subunit ribosomal RNA", at positions 28 to 507 of the family's 1533-position model. The record is from RNAcentral.